RNAcentral lists this small RNA (2963 nucleotides) under Pan troglodytes (chimpanzee). Its description in RNAcentral is "processed transcript". The record is from RNAcentral. Lineage: Eukaryota; Metazoa; Chordata; Mammalia; Primates; Hominidae.
CACUUCAUGAUUCCUCGCAAGCUGGGCCCAGUCCUCUCAUCCCAAGAGCAGAGCCACCGUAGCCGGAGUCCUAGCCUCCCAAAUUCGGAAAUCCAAUCCAACGGUCUCAGGAAUGUUUUCCAUCCCGCCACGCGCCUCCCGAAGCUCCCAGACCGGAGGCUCAGCCCCCAUCUCGUAAAGCACUGCCUCCCUAGACCAAUUCUCUGGGAUCCCUGGAAGACAUCUGGCAUCCAGCAAGUCUUGACCCCUCUUUAGAAAGCCAUGGAGAAACUGGAGGUAAAAUACCUGUUUUCUGACAAGACUAGGACUCUUACAUAGACUGCCAUGAACUACAAGAAGUAUAGCAUUGCUCAAAUAACCUGUGGUUAGAGUUACUUGUUAUUGGUAAAUAGCCACUGUGGAGACUAAGGACCAAAAGAAACACAGAAAGAAAUUUUACAGAAGAAAAACAGUGGGCCCAAAGCUGAAAAGAAAAAGAAGCAGCAUCUGCAGGAUCUCCAGCUAGGGGAUGAAGAAGAUGCCCGGAAGAGAAAUCCCAAAGCUUUUGCAAUUCAGUCUGCUGUGGGGAUGGCUUGAUCCUUUCACAGGACUCAGGAUUUGAAGACAAAAAAGCAUCAUAUUCCAGUGGUUGAUCAAACUCCACUAGAGCCGCCACCAAUAGUGAUAGUGGUGACGGGGCCUCCAAAAGUUGGAAAGAGCACUUUGAUAUAAUGCCUCAUUGGGAACUUCACCCGGCAGAAGUUGACCGAGAUCAGAGGCCCUGUGAUGAUUGUGUCAGGUAAAAAGCUCCGACUCACCAUUAUUGAAUGUGGGUGUGACAUUAACAUGAUCUAUCUGGCUGAAGUAGCAGAUCUGGUUGCCAAGCUGUUCUACCUUUCUGGAAUGGUGCAUGGAGAAUAUCAAGACCAAGAAAUCCACAAUCUGGGCCAUUUUAUUACAGUUAUGAAGUUUAGGCCUCUCACAUGGCAGACUUCUCAUCCUUAUAUCCUGGCAGACAGGAUGGAAGAUUUGACAAACCCAGAGGAUAUCUGAACAAAAUGUGACUGGCAGGUGUCACUUUAUGGUUAUUUAAGAGGCGCACACUUGAAAAAUAAAAGCCAAAUUCACAUGCCAGGUAUCUACUGAGCGUUUCAGUCAACAAUACAGCUCGUGUUCGACAAUAUUCCUUGAUGACAGCACAGCCAGCCAGCAUUAUCUUAUAAUGACAAUAAUAUCAGAUGCAGAUAGAUCUUUGACCAUACUUGAUGAACAGUUAUACUCAUUUGCGUUUUCCACCGUGCACAUUAUGAAGAAAAGAAAUGGAGGUGGGAGUUUAAAUAACUAUUCCUCCUCCAUUCCAUCGACUCCCAGCACCAGCCAGGAGGACCUUUAUUUCAGUGUUCCUCCCACUGCCAACACACCCACGCCCAUUUGCAAGCAGUCCAUGGGCUGGUCCAACUUGUUUACAUCUGAGAAAGGGAGUGACCCAGACAAAGAGAGGAAAGCCCUGGAGAGUCACGCUGACACCAUCGGGAGCAGCACAGCCAUCCCCAUUAAACAGGGCAUGCUCUUAAAGCGAAGUGGGAAAUGGCUGAAGACAUGGAAAAAGAAAUAUGUCACCCUGUGUUCCAAUGGCGUGCUCACCUAUUAUUCAAGCUUAGGUGAUUAUAUGAAGAAUAUUCAUAAAAAAGAGAUUGACCUUCAGACAUCUACCAUCAAAGUCCCAGGAAAGUGGCCAUCCCUAGCCACAUCGGCCUGCGCACCCAUCUCCAGCUCUAAAAGCAAUGGCCUAUCCAAGGACAUGGACACCGGGCUGGGUGACUCCAUAUGCUUCAGCCCCAGUAUCUCCAGCACCACCAGCCCCAAGCUCAACCCGCCCCCCUCUCCUCAUGCCAAUAAAAAGAAACACCUAAAGAAGAAAAGCACCAACAACUUUAUGAUUGUGUCUGCCACUGGCCAAACGUGGCACUUUGAAGCCACGACGUAUGAGGAGCGGGAUGCCUGGGUCCAAGCCAUCCAGAGCCAGAUCCUGACCAGCCUGCAGUCAUGCAAGAGCAGUAAAAGCAAGUCCCAGCUGACCAGCCAGAGUGAGGCCAUGGCCCUGCAGUCGAUCCAAAACAUGCGUGGGAACUCCCACUGUGUGGACUGUGAGACCCAGAAUCCUAAGUGGGCCAGUUUGAACUUGGGAGUCCUCAUGUGUAUUGAAUGCUCAGGAAUCCACCGCAGUCUUGGCACCCGCCUUUCCCGUGUGCGAUCUCUGGAGCUGGAUGACUGGCCAGUUGAGCUCAGGAAGGUUAUGUCAUCUAUUGGCAAUGACCUAGCCAACAGCAUCUGGGAAGGGAGCAGCCAGGGGCAGACGAAACCCUCAAUAGAGUCGACGAGGGAAGAGAAGGAACGGUGGAUCCGUUCCAAAUAUGAGCAUAAGCUCUUUCUGGCCCCACUACCCUGCACUGAGCUGUCCCUGGGCCAGCACCUGCUGCAGGCCACCGCUGAUGAGGACCUGCGGACAGCCAUCCUGCUGCUGGCACAUGGCUCCCGUGAGGAGGUGAACGAGACCUGUGGGGAGGGAGACGGCUGCAUGCGCUCCAUCUGGCCUGCCGCAAGGGGAAUGUGGUCCUGGCGCAGCUCCUGAUCUGGUACGGGGUGGACGUCAUGGCCCGAGAUGCCCACGGGAACACAGCGCUGACCUACGCCCGGCAGGCCUCCAGCCAGGAGUGCAUCAACGUGCUUCUGCAGUACGGCUGCCCCAACGAGUGCGUGUAGUAUCUGUUUUAUUUGACUGCAGUCUCCUUGGUGCAAAAACAAAAUGGGAAAAAUAAGGAUAACUCAGAAUUUCAAAAGGAAAUCACAAAUUCAGCUAAUAAUAGCAUUUUCAGUACUUUUCGUAAACUAAGUAAAUACACAAAAUGUUGAUUUUUCUGACCAUAAGACAUAUUUUAUGUCCUUUUGCCGAGGUGGGUGUGUUAGUCUCAGGCCCUCCUGGC